GGGUUGUGAGGUUAAGCGACUAAGCGUACACGGUGGAUGCCCUGGCAGUCAGAGGCGAUGAAGGACGUGCUAAUCUGCGAUAAGCGUCGGUAAGGUGAUAUGAACCGUUAUAACCGGCGAUUUCCGAAUGGGGAAACCCAGUGUGUUUCGACACACUAUCAUUAACUGAAUCCAUAGGUUAAUGAGGCGAACCGGGGGAACUGAAACAUCUAAGUACCCCGAGGAAAAGAAAUCAACCGAGAUUCCCCCAGUAGCGGCGAGCGAACGGGGAGCAGCCCAGAGCCUGAAUCAGUGUGUGUGUUAGUGGAAGCGUCUGGAAAGGCGCGCGAUACAGGGUGACAGCCCCGUACACAAAAAUGCACAUAUUGUGAGCUCGAUGAGUAGGGCGGGACACGUGGUAUCCUGUCUGAAUAUGGGGGGACCAUCCUCCAAGGCUAAAUACUCCUGACUGACCGAUAGUGAACCAGUACCGUGAGGGAAAGGCGAAAAGAACCCCGGCGAGGGGAGUGAAAAAGAACCUGAAACCGUGUACGUACAAGCAGUGGGAGCACGCUUAGGCGUGUGACUGCGUACCUUUUGUAUAAUGGGUCAGCGACUUAUAUUCUGUAGCAAGGUUAACCGAAUAGGGGAGCCGAAGGGAAACCGAGUCUUAACUGGGCGUUAAGUUGCAGGGUAUAGACCCGAAACCCGGUGAUCUAGCCAUGGGCAGGUUGAAGGUUGGGUAACACUAACUGGAGGACCGAACCGACUAAUGUUGAAAAAUUAGCGGAUGACUUGUGGCUGGGGGUGAAAGGCCAAUCAAACCGGGAGAUAGCUGGUUCUCCCCGAAAGCUAUUUAGGUAGCGCCUCGUGAAUUCAUCUCCGGGGGUAGAGCACUGUUUCGGCAAGGGGGUCAUCCCGACUUACCAACCCGAUGCAAACUGCGAAUACCGGAGAAUGUUAUCACGGGAGACACACGGCGGGUGCUAACGUCCGUCGUGAAGAGGGAAACAACCCAGACCGCCAGCUAAGGUCCCAAAGUCAUGGUUAAGUGGGAAACGAUGUGGGAAGGCCCAGACAGCCAGGAUGUUGGCUUAGAAGCAGCCAUCAUUUAAAGAAAGCGUAAUAGCUCACUGGUCGAGUCGGCCUGCGCGGAAGAUGUAACGGGGCUAAACCAUGCACCGAAGCUGCGGCAGCGACGCUGAUGCGUUGUUGGGUAGGGGAGCGUUCUGUAAGCCUGUGAAGGUGCGCUGUGAGGCAUGCUGGAGGUAUCAGAAGUGCGAAUGCUGACAUAAGUAACGAUAAAGCGGGUGAAAAGCCCGCUCGCCGGAAGACCAAGGGUUCCUGUCCAACGUUAAUCGGGGCAGGGUGAGUCGACCCCUAA
RNAcentral lists this ribosomal RNA (1363 nucleotides) under Escherichia coli. RNAcentral describes it as "partial 23S ribosomal RNA". It matches the Rfam family "Bacterial large subunit ribosomal RNA", at positions 1 to 1394 of the family's 2925-position model. Lineage: Bacteria; Pseudomonadati; Pseudomonadota; Gammaproteobacteria; Enterobacterales; Enterobacteriaceae. The record is from RNAcentral.